UCCCCACUGAGCCUCAAGGCAGGAGAGCAGGGGUGGUGGGGGCCAGCUGAAAACCAGCCCCGAGCUUGCAAUGGGUGCAGUCGUGCUCCUGGGUCUUCUUGAGCAUCGUGGCCUUGAUGAAAAGCGCUUGACAAAUGACUGUAGGAAGGAGCUGAGCCUGAAGACCCGGGCACAGAUGUGUUGGGAUUUACACUGCUCAGCUCCUGCCUGCCUUGCCAGAAGAAAGUCCCCACCAGGCUGGCCCGAUCCAGGCUCUGGGCCAUCUCCUAAAUCAGGCUAUCUGUCUUGGAGAAGAUCAGAAGAGGGGGAUGCUCCAGGGCAAGAUGGCAUUGUGCAGUUGGGAGCAGUAAGGCAUGAAGUCUAGGAUUGCCUCCAGCCUUGGGAGCCCACAGAUGGUGGAAAUGGGCUGAGCCUGUGGGAUGGGUACCUGUGUUGCAAGAAACUCUGAGUGUUGGUGGUAACAGGGGUGAUGGUGCUAGGAGGGGAGGGGAAGGUUGAAUUAAUCUCAUGUAGAAGGCCUAACGAGGAGACAGGCUGUGCUUACUGAUGGCUUUCUGAGGUAGUCUUCCUUCAUCCUGAGUGUUAGUGCCGAGGACUUCCAAUCCAGGAGAAAAAAGUAAGGAGAUGGUGGAUGGACCGCUCCUGUCCAACCUUGCACUAAACGUCUUGUGUGCUGGAAACAUGAAAAGCCUCAAAGUUUCUCUAGAGAUGUGUUCAGAAGAUGUUUCUGGGAGAGGACUCUCUCCAGUGAUAUAACAAGCUGCAGUUUGCUUCAAACUUUAAGUAUUAUAAAUGUGGCUGAUGUAAUUCUAUUUCAAAAAGCCUUAGAGGCUUGCAGUAAUAAACAGAGCCUUUUAGU
Long non-coding RNA from Cygnus olor (mute swan), 859 nucleotides. RefSeq lists it as uncharacterized. The transcript has 3 exons. The record is from RefSeq and is a predicted model, not a curated record. NCBI's taxonomy places the organism in Eukaryota, Metazoa, Chordata, Aves, Anseriformes, Anatidae.